Poecilia reticulata (guppy) is the source of this 529-nucleotide long non-coding RNA. RefSeq lists it as uncharacterized. The record is from RefSeq and is a predicted model, not a curated record. Lineage: Eukaryota; Metazoa; Chordata; Actinopteri; Cyprinodontiformes; Poeciliidae.
CACAAGAGUAAGAGAAAGAUCCCUGAUUUAAUCUCGUGAUCAUUUCUUUUAUUACAAUUGUCCGUCUUAAGAACUGCUCUGGAAACACUUGUAGCGUCUCACGAGUCACAUGAUCAACGACCUGCUGUAACUUCUGCUGGAAACAACACAAAAGACGACAGGAAGUGAAAUGCAUCCAAAGYGCCGUCAGGUCGUUUGCUCGAUUUCAUAUCACCUUAGGCCACACAUGCCCUAAUCCCAAAUGGAAUACUUUGACUGGAACGCCGCAGAUUUCCAAGCGAGAAACUGUUUGUGCCGUUCUGGUGUGAUGGACUGGAGUGCUGCAGUGGACAAAAAAACCCAAAUUAUGCAAGUAUUUACUUUUAUAAAACAGCAYUUUGAGAGAAUCUCUGACCUACUUCUUGAAUUGAAAAACAAAAAGGAAGAAGUGCAGAACAUGCAUGUGAGAUGCUGUCAGUGAACGUUAUCAUCACCGUGUAGAACGGCCUCUGUCCUUUAUCAUUUUGUUUUCUGAAGUGAAGAAUCUAAU